This 253-nucleotide ribosomal RNA is filed under the name uncultured bacterium. RNAcentral describes it as "partial 16S ribosomal RNA". It matches the Rfam family "Bacterial small subunit ribosomal RNA", at positions 524 to 776 of the family's 1533-position model. The record is from RNAcentral.
AACGUAGGAGGCAAGCGUUAUCCGGAGUUACUGGGCGUAAAGAGUGCGUAGGCGGCAUCGUAAGUGGGACGUGAAAGCCCCUGGCUAAACUAGGGGAGGACGACUCAGACUGCGAAGCUAGAAUACAGUAGAGGACUGCGGAAUUCGGGGUGUAGCGGUGAAAUGUGUAGAGAUCCCGAGGAACACCAGAGGUGGAGACGGCGGUCUGGGCUGUGAUUGACGCUGAGGCACGAAAGCUUGGGGAGCGAACGGG